This 555-nucleotide ribosomal RNA is filed under the name Mniaecia nivea. RNAcentral describes it as "SSU rRNA". It matches the Rfam family "Bacterial small subunit ribosomal RNA", at positions 439 to 1105 of the family's 1533-position model. Lineage: Eukaryota; Fungi; Ascomycota; Leotiomycetes; Leotiales; Mniaeciaceae. The record is from RNAcentral.
UCGAAUAAAAUUCUAGUAGAAAACUGAUUAUGACAAUUUUCUAUCUAUGUGUCUUGACCAAAUUACGUGCCAGCAGUCGCGGUAAUACGUAGAAGACUAGUGUUAUUCAUCUUUAUUAGGUUUAAAGGGUACCUAGACGGCAUUAUUUGCCCGAAUUAGGGUACGGUAUUGCUAGAGUUUUAUAAGAGAAGGGGAGAAUUUAUGGAGUAGAGAUGAAAUUUGUUGAUACCAUGAGGACUGAUAACGGCGAAAGCAACCUUCUAUGUGAUAACUGACGUUGAGGGACGAAGGCUUGGGUAGCAAGCAGGAUUAGAUACCCUAGUAGUCCAAGCAGAAAAUUAUGAAUGCCAUAUAUAAAUGAAAGUGUAAGCAUUUCACCUUAAGAGUAAUGCGGCAACGCAGGAACUGAAAUCAUUAGACCGUUUCUGAAACCAGUAGUGAAGUAUGUUAUUUAAUUCGAUAAUCCUCGAAAAACCUUACCACACAAGCGUUGCACGGCUGUCUUCAGUUAAUGUCGUGAGAUUUUGGUUAGUUCCAUAAAAUUAACGAAAACCC